AUGUUACAAUACUCUCCUCAUCAAAACUAUGAUUGCUCUAGUACUUAUCAUCAAAAAAGAAAACCAUUUCAUUACUACUUUCAAACAUCAUUACUAUUUAAUAUUAAAAAUUUAAACAACACCUUCAUUUUUACACCGACACUAUGGAAAGAAGCUAAGCUUUUCGAUCUACACAAAAGAUUUAAAUCAAUCACAUUUAUAACACUUUUUUUUUUCUUCUGA
Vicia faba (fava bean) is the source of this 222-nucleotide non-coding RNA. The record is from the annotation of a GenBank genome assembly. Lineage: Eukaryota; Viridiplantae; Streptophyta; Magnoliopsida; Fabales; Fabaceae.